UUGAAAUACAGAGGAAAGUCCGGGCUUCGCAGGGCAGGAUGCCGGAUAACGUCCGGUGGAGGCGACUCUAAGGAAAGUGCAACAGAAAAUAUACCGCCUUAUGAAGAUAGGAGAGGCCCACGAAGUGGGAAGAACCUGUCUUCCCGAGGUAAGGGUGAAAUGGCAGUGUAAGAGACUACCGCCCGGGUGGUAACACGCGGGGCAGUGUAAACCCCAUCCGAAGCAAGACCAAGAAGAAGCGAUACGGUUGCCCGCCGUGCUUCGGGUAGGUCGCUCGAGGUCGCCGGUAACGGCGAUCCUAGAUAGAUGAUUGUCGCGGGAUUUUCCCGUACAGAACCCGGCUUACUGGCUGC
Molecule: RNase P RNA, 353 nt
Filed under: bovine gut metagenome
Description: Bacterial RNase P class A
Rfam family: Bacterial RNase P class A
About the family: Ribonuclease P (RNase P) is a ubiquitous endoribonuclease, found in archaea, bacteria and eukarya as well as chloroplasts and mitochondria. Its best characterised activity is the generation of mature 5'-ends of tRNAs by cleaving the 5'-leader elements of precursor-tRNAs. Cellular RNase Ps are ribonucleoproteins.
Source: RNAcentral